This 229-nucleotide ribosomal RNA is filed under the name uncultured bacterium. RNAcentral's name for it is "partial 16S ribosomal RNA". It matches the Rfam family "Bacterial small subunit ribosomal RNA", at positions 568 to 796 of the family's 1533-position model. The record is from RNAcentral.
UGCGUAGGCGGCAUCGUAUGUCGGAUGUGAAAUCCCAUAGCUCAACUGUGGAAUGGCAUCCGAAACUACGGAGCUAGAGUGCAGGAGGGGAGAGUGGAAUUCCUGGUGUAGCGGUGAAAUGCGUUGAUAUCAGGAGGAACACCGGUGGCGAAGGCGACUCUCUGGAAUGUUACUGACGCUGAGGCACGAAAGCGUGGGGAGCAAACAGGAUUAGAUACCCUGGUAGUCC